This 214-nucleotide non-coding RNA is filed under the name Fragilariopsis kerguelensis. Lineage: Eukaryota; Bacillariophyta; Bacillariophyceae; Bacillariales; Bacillariaceae. The record is from RNAcentral.
CAAAGAAAGAAAGAAAGAGAGAAAAAAAGAGAUAGAGAUAGAGAGAGAAAGAGCAUCCAACAGAUGUUCCACUACACGUACUGCGUUUUGUUGUGUUGUUGUGUUGUGGGUCCAGUCCCACACUUUCAACUUGAAAUUGUCAACAACACGAUCGAUGGAGAUUGUAUUGUUCGACAACUCAUUUGAAAAACUGGAGACCAUUCCAUGCCUUUUA